AGGGUUCGAUUAUGGCUCAGGAUGAACGCUAGCUACAGGCUUAACACAUGCAAGUCGAGGGGCAUCAGGAAGAAAGCUUGCUUUCUUUGCUGGCGACCGGCGCACGGGUGAGUAACACGUAUCCAACCUGCCGAUGACUCGGGGAUAGCCUUUCGAAAGAAAGAUUAAUACCUGAUGGUAUCUUAAGCACACAUGUAAUUAAGAUUAAAGAUUUAUCGGUGUACGAUGGGGAUGCGUUCCAUUAGGUAGUAGGCGGGGUAACGGCCCACCUAGCCUACGAUGGAUAGGGGUUCUGAGAGGAAGGUCCCCCACAUUGGAACUGAGACACGGUCCAA
This 335-nucleotide ribosomal RNA is filed under the name uncultured bacterium. Its description in RNAcentral is "bacterial SSU rRNA". It matches the Rfam family "Bacterial small subunit ribosomal RNA", at positions 8 to 334 of the family's 1533-position model. The record is from RNAcentral.